This 3396-nucleotide long non-coding RNA is filed under the name Citrus x clementina. Its description in RNAcentral is "Citrus clementina (C. clementina) long non-coding RNA (CCLE_LNC002187)". The record is from RNAcentral. Lineage: Eukaryota; Viridiplantae; Streptophyta; Magnoliopsida; Sapindales; Rutaceae.
CGCCAUUGCGAGUCCGGCGGAAGAAGUUGGCCAGCCCCACCCCCCAAGGCUAUAGCCCACAGUAUUUGUGGCUUUUUUCCGCUGGAUGAACUUUGCGCCCCGGCCUUCGGGCGGUUAUUUUUGGGCACGGCUGUUCCCACGGCCUAUUUUUGGCGCAUGGAGGCGCCUCGCAAUGUCUCGCGCCAUUCCGAGUCCGGCGGACGAAGUCGGCCAGCCCCACCCCCCAAGGCUAUAGCCCACCCGUUUUUGUGGCCUUUUUCCGCUGGAUGAACUUGGCGCCCAGGCCUUCGGGCGGUUAUUUUUGGACGCGGCUGUGCCCGCGGCCUAUUUUUAGCACACGGAGGCGCCUUGUAAAGUCUCGCGCCAUUCCGAGUCCAGCGGACGAAGUUGGCCAGCCCCACCCCCCAAGGCUAUAGCACACCCGUUUUUGUGGCCUUUUUCCGCUGGACGAACUUGGCGCCCCGGCCUUUGGGCUGUUAUUUUUCGGCGCGGCUGUACCCGCGGCGUUUUUUUGGCCCACGGAGGGGCCUCGCAAAGUCUCGCGCCAUUCCGAGUCCGGCGGACGAAGUUGGCCAGCCCCACCCCCCAAGGCUAUUGCCCACCCGUUUUUGUGGCCUUUUUCCGCUGGACGAACUUGGCGCCCCGACCUUUGGGGUGUUAUUUUUCGGCGCGGCUGUGCCCGCGGCCUAUUUUUGGCCCACGGAGGGGCCUCGCAAAGUCUCGUACCAUUCCGAGUCCGGCGGAGGAAGUUGGCCCGCUCCACCCCCCAAGGCUAUAGCCCACCCGUUUUUGGGGCGUUUUUCCGCUGGACGAACUUGGCGCCCCGGCCUUCGGGCGGUUAUAUUUCGAUGCGGCUGUGCCCGCGGCCUAUUUUUGGCACACGGAGGCGCCUCGCAAAGUCUCGCGCCAUUCCGAGUCCGGCGGACGAAGUGGGCCAGCCCCACCCCCCAAGGCUAUUGCCCACCCGUAUUUUUGGCCUUUUUCCGCUGGACGAACUUGGCGCCCCGGCCUUCGGGCGGUUAUUUUUGGGCGCGGCUUUGCCCUUGGCCUAUUUUUGGCACACGGAGGCGCCUCGCAAAGUCUCGCGCCAUUCCGCGUCCGGCGGACGAAGUUGGCCAGCCCCACCCCCCAAGGCUGUAGCCCACCCGUUUUUGUGGCCUUUUUCCGCUUGACGAACUUGGCGCCCUGGCCUUCGGGCGGUUAUUUUUCGACGCGGCUGUGUCCGCGGCCUAUUCUUGGCACACGGAGGAGCCUCGCAAAGUCUCGCGCCAUUCCGAGUCCGGCGGACGAAGUUGGCCAGCCCCACCCGCCAAGGCUGUAGCCCACAGUAUUUGUGGCCUUUUUCUGCUGGACGAACUUUGCGCCCCGGCCUUCGGGCGGUUAUUUUUGGGCACGGCUGUUCCCACGGACUAUUUUUGGCGCACGGAGGCGCCUCGCAAUGUCUCGCGCCAUUCCGAGUCCGGCGGACGAAGUCGGCCAGCCCCACCCCCCAAGGCUAUAGCCCACCCGUUUUUGUGGCCUUUUUCCGCUGGAUGAACUUGGCGCCCAGGCCUUCGGGCGGUUAUUUUUGGGCGCGGCUGUGCCCGUGGCCGAUUUUUUGCACACGGAGGUGCCUCACAAAUUCUCGCGCCAUUCCGAGUCCGGCGGACGAAGUUGGCCAGCCCCACCCCCCAAGGCUAUAGCCCACCUGUAUUUGUGGCCUUUUUCCGCAGGACGAACUUGGCGCCCCGGCCUUCGGGUGGUUAUUUUUGGGCACGGCUGUUCCCACGGCCUAUUCUUGGCGCACGGAGGCGCCUCGCAAUGUCUCGCACCAUUCCUAGUCCGGCGGACGAAGUUGGCCAGCCCCACCCGCCAAGGCUGUAGCCCACAGUAUUUGUGGCCUUUUUCUGCUGGACGAACUUUGCGCCCCGACCUUCGGGCGGUUAUUUUUGGGCACGGCUGUUCCCACGGCCUAUUUUUGGCGCACGGCGGCGCCUCGCAAUGUCUCGCGCCAUUCCGAGUCCGGCGGACGAAGUCGGCCAGCCCCACCCCCCAAGGUUAUUGCCCACCCGUUUUUGUGGCCUUUUUCCGCUGGAUGAACUUGGCGCCCAGGCCUUCGGGCGGUUAUUUUUGGGCGUGGCUGUGUCCGCGGCCUAUUUUUAGCCACACGGAGGCACCUCGCAAAGUCUCGCACCAUUCCGAGUCCGGCAGACGAAGUCGGCCAGCCCCACCGCCCAAGGCUAUAGCCCACCCGUUUUUGUGGCCUUUUUCCGCUGGAUGAACUUGGCGCCCAGGCCUUCGGGCGGUUAUUUUUGGGCGUGGCUGUGUCCGUGGCCUAUUUUUGCCACACGGAGGCACCUCGCAAAGUCUCGCGCCAUUCCGAGUCCGGCGGACGAAGUGGGCCAGCCCCACCCCCCAAGGCUAUAGCCCACCCGUUUUUGUGGCCUUUUUCCGCUGGAUGAACUUGGCGCCCAGGCCUUCGGGCGGUUAUUUUUGGGCGUGGCUGUGUCCGCGGCCUAUUUUUGCCACACGGAGGCACCUCACAAAGUCUCGCGCCAUUCCGAGUCCGGCGGACGAGUGGGCCAGCCCCACCCCCCAAGGCUAUAGCCCACCCGUUUUUGUGGCCUUUUUCUGCUGGACGAACUUUGCGCCCCGGCCUUCGGGCAGUUAUUUUUGGGCACGGCUGUUCCCACGGCCUAUUUUUGGCGCACGGAGGCGCCUCGCAAUGUCUCGCGCCAUUCCUAGUCCGGCGGACGAAGUAGGCCAGCCCCACCCCCCAAGGCUAUAGCCCACCCGUAUUUGUGGCCUUUUUCCGCUGGACGAACUUGGCGCCCGGGCCUUCGGGCGGUUCUUUUUGGGCGUGGCUGUGCCUGCGGCCUAUUUUGGGCGUAUGGAGGAGCCUCGCAACGUCUCGCGCCAUUCCGAGUCCGGCGGAGGAAGUUGGCCAGCUCCACCCCCCAAGGCUAUAGCCCACCCGUUUUUGGGGCGUUUUUCCGCUGGACGAACUUGGCGCCCCGGCCUUCGGGCGGUUAUUUUUGGGUGCGGCUGUGUCCGCGGCCAAUUUUUGGCACACGGAGGCACCUCGCAAAGUCUCGCAGCAUUCCGAGUCCGGCGGACGAAGUGGGCCAGCCCCACCCCCCAAGGCUAUAGCCCACCCGUUUUUGUGGCCUUUUUCCGAUGGACGAACUUGGCGCCCCGGCCUUCGGGCGGUUAUUUUUGGGCGCGGCUGUGUCCGCGGCCUAUUUUUAGCACACGGAGGCGCCUCGCAAAUUCUCGCGCCAUUCCGAGUCCGGCGGACGAAGUUGGCCAGCCCCACCCCCCAAGGCUAUAGCCCACCCAUUUUAUGGCCUUUUUCCGCUGGACGAACUUGGUGCCCCGGCCUUCGGGCUGUUAUUUUUGGGCGCGGCUGUGCCCGNN